Molecule: ribosomal RNA, 500 nt
Filed under: uncultured bacterium
Lineage: Bacteria
Description: partial 16S ribosomal RNA
Rfam family: Bacterial small subunit ribosomal RNA
Source: RNAcentral
AUUGAACGCUGGCGGCAUGCCUUACACAUGCAAGUCGAACGGCAGCACGGGAGCAAUCCUGGUGGCGAGUGGCGAACGGGUGAGUAAAGUAUCGGAACGUGCCCAGUCGUGGGGGAUAACGUAGCGAAAGUUACGCUAAUACCGCAUACGAUCUAUGGAUGAAAGCGGGGGAUCGCAAGACCUCGCGCGAUUGGAGCGGCCGAUAUCAGAUUAGGUAGUUGGUGGGGUAAAGGCUCACCAAGCCGACGAUCUGUAGCUGGUCUGAGAGGACGACCAGCCACACUGGGACUGAGACACGGCCCAGACUCCUACGGGAGGCAGCAGUGGGGAAUUUUGGACAAUGGGCGCAAGCCUGAUCCAGCCAUGCCGCGUGCAGGAUGAAGGCCUUCGGGUUGUAAACUGCUUUUGUACGGAACGAAAAGGUUUGGCCUAAUACGCUGAACUCAUGACGGUACCGUAAGAAUAAGCACCGGCUAACUACGUGCCAGCCGCCGCCGUAA